UUUUAACCUGGCGUGCUUUCAGUUUCUCAGCCCGAGCGGGCAAUUAUCUGGAGGAAAAUAGUUGAUUGCAUCAAUGAAAGGGUUUUCAUCUGGGUUUGCCAAGGCAUUUUUUUUUUACUAAUGUGAAUUAAUUAACUUUGCUAACGUUAAAGGCAGAAGAACAACUUUAUUAGGCUUAAUGGAAGGAUCAGGCUGUGCAAGUAAGAGAGGUUGGAUGGCAUCAUUCAAGAUGUGGCUGGAGGGAUCAGUAGCACUCACGCUGUUGGUGUCCAGAGAAGUUUGAAGUCUUAAAGAACAGUUGAAGAGAAAGUCAGAUUGAACCACAAGUGACCUGCCUCAGACAGAAACUAAGUUUUUUUUUCCAAAAAAAAAAAUUCACCACCAAGGAAGAGUUAGAGUGCAAUGUCUAAAUGGCCUAACGUCUAAAACCUGCAGUUUGAUGAUGCAAGAGGGAACAGAGAUUGAUUCUGCCUGCCGUGAAGUCUGGCUUGAUGGCUGGAAUAGGUCCUGAGAAGUGCUAUGCCUGCAACAUAAACCAAUAAACAUUUCUUUCAGUGGAUGCUAAAUCUCUGGGUGGAGCUGCAGAAUCCAGAAUGUCAUACACUGAGCAGAUCAUCUUCGGAACAAAUUUAAUGUACUCACUGGCUCAAGUCUAGAUAGGAAGAGCUAAAGAGCUCCAUAAGAGAAAAAGCUUCAGAUAAAUGUAGAAUGACCUGGCUCAAGUCUGUCUCGGAAGAACACAGAGUUGAUCCAAAGGGAUGACAUUGAGCUUUGUUCUGACUCUUCUACUCCACCGUUGUUCUUACAUGAGAAGCCGGAAGAGAGAAAAACUAAACUCAAAUUAUACGUAAGCAACAUUCUCUUUCCCGGCGUGGAAGUUAGAGGAAGGCAAAGCCAGGCCUGGCUUAUUACAUGAUCCCGAAGAUUCAGACUCAGGUCCUUAAACAUGAGCACCGCCUUUCGUUGUGCUUUCUAAUGAAGCAUCUCUUGCCAAGACAUUUGGAGAGGGAGAGGAGAAAGACGACUAGUUAAAGGACCAAAUGAAUGAGUGAGUACAAAAGAAGGAACCUAAGAGCAGCCUGGCUGAGUGUUCUGGGUCAGAGUUUCGCAUCAAAAAUGAGACAAGAUCACCAAGGCUGCUACAUUUAAAGACUUCGUUGGGCUGUUAAUGCCUUCUUAAAUCUGAAACAUGAUGUUAGCUAGAAAAUAAAGCCGUUUUUAAUUCUCUAUCUUUUUUAAUGUGUAACACAUCUGAUGGGCAGCUUGUAAAAUCCCAGAGGACGGAAUAAAAUCUAAAGAAGUGACAGAAUCAGUCAAAGCGACAUUAGUUUUUAAGAACGAACCAGCCCUGGAAAGAAAUAGCAGCUCAUAGCCAGGCAAGCCAGGGCAGCGUCUGCACAUUCCAGUGGGAGUUCUCGGGCAUCUAUAGCCAUGGGUAUCUCUGAAAGGAAGUGACCCCCGUGAGACCUACCCACCAAAAGCAACUGAUCUGCAAUGAGCAAAUGAUCUUGCUGCAGGGGCAAGGUGUAUGUCAAUUAUGUACUUCAGGAAGAGAAAAACCCUAUGUCCCCAGAAGAGGAGGAAGCUAGGUCAAGCACAGGCUUGCCUAGAAAUGGGAUGGGAACAGAAUAAGGACUUCAGGCUGAUUUAGAAGAGAGUGUUUCAAUAAGUCUAUGAAAUGCUCCUGACAUGAAAUGGAUUCCAAUGGGAGAGCUGCAGUGGCAUAACACCGGAAGAAAUUUAACAGAUGCUGGCACGAUCCUGAUCUUGGAGAGAUUAGUGAAGAAAAACUUGGUUCUUGAUUGGAGAAGGGAACUUGGCUCUAAUGUGUGAGAGUAGAUGACGUCAGCAAGAAGUACAGUGGCCAUCUAGUAGAAAAUGUGUUUGUAGUCCCUCUCUACAAAUGCGUGCUACAUGCAUUACAGCCACGCCCAUCCAUAGAACGCCAUCAUCUGACAGACGAUGAGACUCCUGAAAGAUGCUCACAGUUUUGCAGAUUAUAAACCUCCUAGUUGUGGACUCUGAAGCCCAAGCGCACCAUUUCUAUGCAAGACGCACAGGAAGGAGGGACCUUUAAGUAUUAAAUAUAUUGAGUAUAUGAGCAUGCACAUAUGUAUGUAAGUUUGUACUUAAAUGACAUUGUAUAGCUAUAAUGAACAGAUUAUCAUAAGCAAAUUGUCAGCUUGAUACUAAUGGUUUUUUUAAAUUAGAGGUAAUUAUUCACAAUGUUGACAUAUCUGUUUACUUAGUAAGCUCAAGCUAUUUAAAAUUAAUGUGUUUAUGUCAAGUAAGGGACAGGUUGUGGAAUCAUAUGCUUACCAUUGCAUCUAUGUUUGGACAAUGUGGAGUCUAAGGCAUGAAUGGCUCCAAACAGGAGACCUGACCACCAACCUUUGCUUUCUCUUCACAUGGUAUGACUGUGUGCUCUUCCAAACAAUGAUUUGUCUGUCACAGAGAAAGCUAUGGCAAAGAGAGAGAAGGGAAGAUAGAACAGUGAUGUCAGCUCCUUAACACAAGGCCCUUAAUACGCUGCUCUGAAUAAAUUAGGUCUUAAUUCAAGUUAAGCCAAUGGCCCACUGGCUUUCCUUACAAUCCCAACGUGCUGGACAUUUCAGGAUGACAAAGGACAGGACAGUUGAGAUGUAAACAUACAUGUAAUAUCCAUAUACAUGCAGAUUGAGUUAUUUACCAUGUCACAAAUUCUCAUAUAUAAUUUAUGUUUAAUUAUUUAUUUUUCUUUGAGUUUGUUUACAUAGUGGAUGAUGUUGAUAGGUUUCCAUGUAUUGAACCAUCCAUCCAUCCCUGGGAUGAAUCCUACUUCAUUAUGGUGAGUGAUCAUUUUGAUGUGUUCUUGGAUUCAUCUUGCAAGAAUUUCCUUGAGGGAAAUUGGUCUGAUGUUCUUUGUCUUUGCUGAGUCUUUGUAUAGUUUAGGUAUCAGGGUAACUGUAGCUUUAUAGAGUGUAUUGGGUAAUAUGGAAUAGUUGGAAGAGUAUUAGAUCUUCUUUGAAGGUCUGAUAGAAUUCUACAAUAAAAUCAUCUAGUCCUGGGCAUUUUUUGGUUGGGAGACUUUAUGACUGUUUCUAUUUCUUUAGGAGUUAUGGGAUUGUUCCGGUGGUUUAUCAGAUCCCGAUUUAACUUUGGUACCUGGUAUCUGUCUAUAAAAUUGUCCAUUUCAUCCAGAUUUUCCAGUUCUGUUGAGUAUGGGCUUUUGUAAUAGGAUCUGAUGAUUUUUUUUGGAUUUCCUCCAUUUCUGUUGUUAUAUCAUCCUUUUCAUUUCUGAUGUUGUUAAUUUGGAUACUGCCUCUGUACCCUCUGGUUAGUCUGGCUAAGUGUUUAUCUAUCUUGUUAAUUUUCUCAAUCAGCUCCUGGUUUUGUUGAUUCUUUGUAUAGUUCCUUUUGUUUCUGCUUGGUUGAUUUCAGCCCUGAAAUUGAUUAUUUCCUACCAUCUAUUCCUCUUGGGUGUAUUUGCUUCUUUUUUGUUUUAGAGUUUUCAGAUGUUCUGUUAAGCUGCUUCUGUAUGCUCUGUUCAAUUUCCUCAUGGAGGUACUCAGAGCUAUGAGUUCUGUCCCAUAUCUUUUGGUAUGUUGUACCUUCAUUUUCAUUAAAUUCCAAAGAGUCUUUAAUUUCUUUUUUCUUCCCUGACCAAGUUAUCAUUGAGUAGGGAGUCGUUCAGCUUCCAUAUGUAUGUGGGCUUUCUGUUGCUCUUGUUGUUUUUGAAGAUCAGCUUUAGUAUGCGGGGAUCUGAUAGAAUGCAUGGUAUUAUUUCAAUCUUCUUAUAUUGGUUGAGGCUUGUUUUGUGACUGAUUAUAUGGUCAGUUUUGGAGAAGGUACUAUGAGGUUCUGGGAAGAUGGUAUAUACCUUUGAUUUAGCGUGAAAAUUUCUGUAGAUAUAUGUUAAAUCUAUUUGGUUCACAACUUCUGUUAGCUUCACUGUGUCUCUGUUUUCUGUUUCCACUGGUGAGAGUAGGGUGUUAAAGUCUCCUACGAUUAUUGUGCUAGUUUCAAUGUGUGCUCUGAGCUUCACUAAUGUUUCUUUUACAAAUGUGGGUGCCCUUGCAUUUGGGACAUGGAUGUUCAAAAUUGGAAGUUCAUCUUCGUGGGUUUUUCCUUUGAUGAGUAUAUAUAUUGUCCUUCCCCAUCUUUUUACAUAGCUUUUGGUUGAAAGUCGAUUUUAUUGGAUACUAGAAUUACUAAUCCAGCUUUUUUCUUGGUACCAUUUGCUUGGAAUUUUUUUCUAGUCUUUUACUUUGAAGUAGUGUCUGUCUUUUUCACUGUGGUAUGUUUCCUGUAAUAGCAAAAUGCUAGUUCAUGUUUAUGUAUCCAGCCUGUCAAUGUAUGUUUUUUUUAUUGGGCAAUUGAGUUCAUUGAUAUUGACAGUUAUAAAGGACCAAUGAUUGUUGUUUCCUGUUAUUUUUGUUGUUAGAGGUGUAAUUAUGUCUGUAUGGUUCUCUUCUCUUGGUUUUAUUUGAGAAGAUAAGUUUCUUGCUUUUUCUUGGCUAUAGUUCCCCCUCCAACCCCGUGUUGGAGAUUUCCUUCCAUUAUCCUCUGUAUGGCUGAAUUGGUGGAAAGACAUUGUUUAAAUUUGGUUUUGUCAUGGAAUAUCUUGGUUUCUCCCUGUGGUAAUUGAGAAAUUUGUGUGCUGUUUCUGCUUUCUGAAUGUCACAGUGCCAUUCAUUUGUGAUCCAGGUAACACUAGGAACUAAGUUUCUCUCCUCUAAAGAUACUUCUCCACUGCCAUUCCAGAUCCCACUGAAACAUUCUCUAGCUCCCUUUUGGACCUAUCUGCUCCCUAUUGUUAAAGUCACUGGUGCACGCAUUGGAUUUGAUAUAGAACCACAUCACUUCUUAUAAGUUUAAAGGAUACCUACACAGGAACCUUCUGAAAUCUACUGAAUUAUACAAUGAAUUGAGCAUUUGGGAUAAGUUUUAUGUUUCAUGCAAAUCAUACUUCAAUAAAAUCCUUAUAGAAAUUAUUUUCUCCUAAACCACUUUUGUGUUGCUUUUUGAAACAAGGUAUUGCUAUAGGGCCUGGGCUAGCUUCAAACUCACUAUGUAGCCUAGGCUCAGCUCAAACUUUUACUGAUCCUCCUGCCUUAGCCUAGCCUCCCAAAGGCUAGGAAUAUAGGUGUUCACUACCCUGACUGACUACACCUGUUUUUCAAAUACAGUUAUCAGAAAACACAAAAUUACACAUGUGGCUGGUUAUACUUCUGUAAACACAGGGGUCCUAGUUCUGGAAAGGCGUUUUUUUUUUCUGGUUCAGAAGUGUUUCUUUAUUGAUACUGAAUUAUUGCCAAACAUGACAUAUUUUCCACAUCUGUGGGAAAACAUAACAACACUUGCUGAAAAUAUCCUAAUACAUCAUUUCACACAAUGAUCUAAAUAUAUCAUCUUCAGAGUUACGUGUAUUUAAGUUUUAAAUGUCAGGUAUGGAAAGGCGUUUUUUAUGGAGAAUAAAACUAAUGAAUAUCUUUUGGAGAAAAGUCUAUGCACUGGUGUCCUAGCUUUGUCCAUGUUAAGUAUUAACAUACAGAAGACAAUUUUCAGCCAAUUGCUUUUUAUGAAUUUGAAAAUAAUUAGUAGAAUAUGUUCAUAAAUUUUUUUCAAUGCUUAGAUUUCUAAAGUACAUUACAAUAACACAAAUUCUAAAGCUAGAAUUCUAAAGCUAGAGCUUGGUGAUUUUUCCCCAGUAAUCCCAGUACAUGGCAAGCUGAGGCAGGGGGAUUGUUAUAAGUUAGAGGUCAGCCUGGAUUAUUAUAGUAAAUGGAAAGACACUCUUGGCUAAAGGAUGAAAUUUUGGGGUAAAUAAGAUGGCUUAGACAGUAAUGGUGCUUGACACGAAGUUUGACACCUUGAGUUGGAUCCCUAAGACCUUCAUAAGGGAAGGAGAAAACUGACUCUUUUUGCCUUUAAAAAGGAAUUCAUGGAAAAUCAACUUACAUAGAAUUUGGAGAUGUUUUCUGAAUUACCUCCCAUCUGUGCUUCAUGAUCAGGGGCUUUGGUUGCCCUGUCAUAAAGUCACGAUGAAGUGCCAGUAUUGUCAGGACAGCCAAAGCUUGGGUCUGAGUUUUCUCUUCUACAAAAUAAUUCUUUAAGUCAUCUGAGUAGAACAGUUCCUAGAGAGAAUUACAGAUGAUAGGAACUUGAUGAAGACUAUUAAGAGUUAAUUUGUAUAGUUUUUGAAAAUAAUUUUCUCUGCUCUCACUUUUGAAACUAUAGGAGUAUGUGUCUGUGUGUAAACAUUUUCCUAUGGUAAUUGAAAAGGAUAUAUCUUGAUGUAUAAUUUAAUGAUAAGGUAUAGCAUUUCACAAUAUUCUAUGAAUAUGCAAAUCAUAUAAGAAGAUCUACAACUGAAAUAACUCACAGAAAAUAUCAUUAAAAUCAUACAAAUAGCAUGAAGUUCUAAAGUUGUGUAUUUCAUAGUGCACUAAUUAUUUUCAAUGAUAACUCAGAAUAGCAAUAUUAAUAAACUGAAUCAUCAUUUGCAUCAAAAAUAAUUCUUAAAAUGAACAGAAACAUAAAUGCUUAUGUUAUUGUCUGUAAUGAUGUUAAUAAUUUAUAUUAGUACAUUUGUAUUAUAUUUUAAAUAUUUUAUCUUUUAUGUGAAUACUAUACCACUCUUAGGCAUAUACACAAAAGAUGCCCCAACUUGUCACAGGAGCAUGUGUUCCACUAUGUUCAUAGCAACCUUAUUUGUGAUAGCCAGAAGUUGGAGACAACUCAGAUGUCCCACAACAAAAGAAUGGAUACAGAAAAUGUGGUUCAUUUACACAAUGGAAUACUACUUAGCUAUUAAGAAUGAGGACAUCAUGAAUUUUGCAGGCAAAUGGAUAGAACUAGAAAAUAUCAUCCUAAGUUUGUUAACUCAGACUCAAAGGGAUCUGCAUGGUAUGUACUCACUAAUACCUAGAUAUUAGCCAAAAAAGUACAGAAUAUGCAAGAUACAAUCCAUAGAACUCAAGGUUAACAGGCUGAAGGGUCCAAGAGAGGAUUCCUUAAUCCCACUUGGGAGGGAAAAGAAAGAAAUCAUGGGGCCAGAGGGAGUGAGAGUCCCUAGUGGGAGAGGGGACAGGGAGGGGAAAAGGAGAACAUGGCCAGGUAUUAGGGGGAGAAGGAAAUGGGACUGAAACCCUGAGGGCCAGCAGAAAGAAUGGAAACGGGCAACCUUGGGAGGUAGGAGGUGUGCGGACCCUCCAGAAUGUACCAGAGACCUGGAACACUAGAGACUCUUAGGACUCAAAGAGAGAGACCUUAUAUGAAAUGUCCUACAGUGAGGAGAGGGAACUUGUAGAGUCCACCUCCAGUAGAAAUACAGAAUUGUUUCUAUCUGAAAGAACUGUAGGGACAAAAAUGGAGAAGAGACUGAGUGAAAGGAGGUCCAGUGACAGACUCAAACUGGGAUGGGGGCGGGUAGGCUUCAAGGCCUGAACUAUUGCUGAGGCUAUGAUGUGCUUAUAGACAGGAUCCUGUCCUCUGAGAGACCCAACAAGCAGCUGAAAGAGUCAGAUGCAGAUAUUUACACCCAACCAAUGGGUGGAAGCUGUUGAUCCCUAUGGUUGAAUUAGGGAAAAGCUGGAAGAAACUGAGGAGGAGGGUGACCCUGUAAGCAGACCAGCAGUCUCAAGUAACCUGGACCCGUGAGGUCUCUCAGUCACUGAGCUACCAAGCAGGCAGCAUACACUAGCUGAUAGGAGCGCCCACUCCACUCCACCUCUGUCCCCCACACAUAUACAGCAGAGGACUGCCUGGUCUGUCCUCAGUUAGAGAAGAUGUACCUAAUCCUUGAGAGACUUGAGGGCCCAGAGAGUGGGGGGUUAUGGUGGGGUUGGGAUAGGGACAUCCUCUUGGAGAUGGGGGAGGAGGUAUAGGAUGAGGGCAGACUGUACUAUUAAAAAAAAGAUUAAACAUAAAAGUAAAAAAAUAAAAAAAAAUAAAAAAGGUUCAGGAAGGUACAGUGUGAAUUAGGGCACAAGAUGGGGUAGAUGAUGUCAUCAGGAGCAUGUGACCGGUGGGAGCGGUUACUAAGUUUCUGGGCAGGGAGUUAGACAUAGUGCAAUGGUGUCUUCCAGGAAGUUCUUCAUUGGGGGUCACUGGAAGAUCAACGGGAGGAAGAAGUGUCUGGGAUAACUCAUCUGCAUCCGGAAUGCAGCUGAGGUGCACGCAGACCCUGGGGUGGUUUGCGUAUUGCGGACCGCCUACACCGCCAGACACAAAGGAAUCCCUGAAGAGUUAAAUUUCAAAAAGUUAGUCAUAAACAAGGUCCGGACUACCUGAGGGAGACUAUAGGGCUUGCCCAACCAUUUGGAGCUAAAGAGUUAAAAUAAAAACUUCAUAAAAACUACAAAAGAACAGCAGAUAAGGGGACAGGACAGAGCUGGCCUGAGAUGUGCCCGGCCAAGCCUAAAAACAAGGUCGAGGGAUUGUUCCAGGAAGGGGGCCAUCCGGACGGAUGACUCCCUGCUCUACAGAUAAAGAUAAGACGUUCUCCUAUAUUGAGAACACCCCAGCCGCAUGUACUGCUUGCAGAUGAGACCUUGUACCCAUUUCCCUUGCUGAUAACCACACGAAACCCCCUGGCUUCUCCUAUAUAAACCCCUGCCUGAAGAGGCUCGGGGUCGAUUCCUCUGUCUCCUGUGUGAGAUACGUUUCGGUCCGGGAUCUCGUUAAUAAACGCUACCUCUUGCUGUUACAUCAAGACUGGCUACUCGCGUUUCUUGGGGGCACCCCAACCCGUGACUGGAGCGAGAGUCUCCCCAAGUUUGGGGGUCUUUCAUCCCAAAAUUGCUGUGGCUGUGCAGAACUGUUGCAAAGUGACCAGGGGGGCCUUCACGGGAGACAGCAGUCCUGGCAUAAUCAAAGACUUAGGAUCCAUGUAGGUAGUACCGGGGCACUAGGAAAGGAGACACAUCUUUGAGGAAUCAGACAAGUUGAUUGGGCAGCAAGUGAGUCAUGUCUUAGCAGAGAACGUUUGCCCUCAUUGGGGAGAAGUUAAGAUGAAAGGGAAGCUGGCAGCCCUGAGAAGACUGCGAGCAAUCCGAGAUCAUCAUCGCCGAUAACGGGCAGCCUACAAUUCUUAGGUAACCAAAUGAAUGUACUUGGUAUGCCAAAACUAUUGGCAUUGUUGACCAAGUGGAGAAGCAUCUAAGACGUAAAUGGAUCCAAAGUUUACGAGCAAAUGUUCUGGUUUUGCUGCAUCAGAAUUGAGUCUCAUAACUCUACCCAAACUGAGUGUGUUUUCUUUAUGAUUUGCACCACAGCUCAUCUGAGUGCUGCUAGACUCCCUUCCUUCUUCAGGGAUCUUCGACUAAGUAGAAGAGGAGAAAGCAGAGCAUGCUGGGAAAAACACGGGUUAGAAUCAGAAAAUGGCGAUCGUUUUGUAAGACUCUCAUUGGCUAGUGUUUCCGUUGGCCAUUUGUGUUAGUUGCUUUUCUUGGUGCUAUAACAAAAUGCCAGACAAAAUGGAAUUUAAGGAAAGAAGGGUUUAUUGUGGCUCACAGGUUUGAGGUUCCAGACUCUGGCCCACAUUUAGGAUGACUUUUCCCUUCCUCUUUAAUAAACACUUCCAGAAGCAGAUCAUAGACAGUGUGUUGCCAUGCUAUUCUCAAUCGGAUUAAACUGAGAGUGAAGAUGGGCUCUAUCCUGCCUCAGUAUUAUUGCUUCAGUCGAUAGACCAAGAACACAGUGGCAGACUUCAAAAUACUCUGGGGACCUGAGAGCAGGGAGAAUUCCUGCACCUUUCUGGAGAGGAGGAAAACGAAAGAGAUUCAGACAGAUACAACAGCACAUAUCAGGGGAAGGGGUUCAGAUGGAGAGUCUGACUUACCAUCACAGAGGAUUGGAACAGACAACGCCACGUCACAGAGGGACUGUUCACACAGUCCCUGAGGUGGAAGACUCUUUAACCAAGUGUCACAGGGUACAAGCAAGCCUCCUAGGAGCAAGCCGCUGGAUCCAUCAUGUGAAUGGUCCCAGGACAGACAGAGCUUCUAUCCUAAGGACCAAGCUGACUUUCUAUAGCAAGAUGUCAUCAGCGUCUUUUUGAAGGUCUAUUCUAUCGAUUCAUGUCUUCAGGCCUAGAUCCUGCAUUGAUAUAUGGAGAGAUGAAGUUGAUCCGAAUGUUGUCAGAGCAGGAGUUAAUGAAAUACUGCUCACACAGCACUUUCCAGAGGGCACUACACGCAGGUUUUCAUUGAUGCUUACCUAGAUUUCAUAAAUGAUUUAGUGCACAUAGAUAUGAGUGCACAUGGCCAUCUGUGACCCAAACAGUGAAAAUCUGGCUGGGAAAUUGUGAGGGACAUUCUGUGAACUUCAACUGAUGAGGGGAUGAUGCCGUGGUGUAGUCACAGGGAGGGUGUUUAUAGUCACUCACGUAACUAGACCGCCCUGUGCUUUGUGGGUUACAGAUUGUGGCUAGAGUUGACUGAAAAGCACCUGACACGAUUGUGAGUUCUGCAGAGGUAUAAUGUGAAGUUGACUUCGAUGACAUGUUUCCAAUACUGUUCCUAAUGAGAUGGCAAUGUGGAAUGUGAUCCAGGAGGCUCACACCUUUCCCUCAUAGCAAGGACUCUCCCAAGGACUUCACAUGUCCUCAUUGACAUGGACUGGCCAUUUCCUCACAAAACUGUGGCCUAGAUACAAGGCGGUAUAUUAGUACCAGGGCAUCCUGCAGCUCAAGUCUUCUUAGAUCACAGGUUUCUUUUUUGUUUAAGUUGCAAGAAAAUUGCUUAUGCCUGUAAAAUUGCUCUUUACAUAUGAGAAUAAAUGACCCACAUAAGUAACAUUUUGUGCUUAGAUAAGGGAGACUGUAGGCACAUUUCUUUGGGUAGGUUUGGCCUGGAAAGUAUACUUUAUAAUAACAAGGACCUGAGACUGAAAAUGUGAUUUUAUGACUCUUUUCAAUAUAUGUCAUCAAAAUGUAGGAAGGUUAUUUGUAGUGUAUUUUAGAAUGGUAAUUAUAAUAAAUAAGCAUAUUAGCACACUCUCUCAUAUAUUUUUUACUUAACACUGCUUGUGUUCCUGAGCUUUCUAUCCUGCAGAAAUAGAAGGAAAUCUUUAAUCGAUUUCCACUGGGCUUUCUCUCCAGUCACUUCACCCACCUAGCAAGAGACUCACUUUGAUGUUUUGUCCUUUAUCAGACCCUAGUUCAAAGAAAGUAAACAUUAGGAAAUUUUAAAUGUAAUACUGUUCCUACCCUGCUCCUAUCCUGGAAGGCUCGUAGACUUUUAAAAGAAAGGCAGGCUCUGUUGCCCAGAACUUUGUAUUGUAAAAGGACCAAUUUUACAGUAGUACCAUAUUGAAUAGCAGGCAAUAAGUCGAAUUGAAUUAGAAUCUUUAUUUGUUGGAAAAGGAACAGUCAGUGACUUGUUUCACCAGAUGCGCUGCAAUUUACUCUGUGUCUAUUGAGAUUCAAUGUAUAGACCCAGACCAAUUACUAAGAUUAUUCCGUCAUUUACAGCCUUCUCAUUGAGAAGAAGCUAAUGGCGACUGUGGAAUGAGGACUUGUUCUGCUUAAAACAACUUGAGCCCAUCUUUGUGAUAUAUAUUAAUACCAGGGCCUGCUGUUGGACUCCCUGGGAAGUUCUUUUCAAACUCACAAAGAAGCAUCCACCCCACCGAGCACGGGGGACUACAUGAAGCUUCUGAAACAUUUCAGAAAAGCUAAUAUGAGCGGGAAUGAAUGUUUUAAUUUGGGCCAUGAGCAUAAUCUACUCAGUUGGAUAUGUGGCAGGGAUAAGACAAAGCCAAGGUUGUACGAUCCAAUGAAAGAGUGGAGAACGGGGAGACACUGGAAGUCUUGCCAGGGAAAUUACUGUGGUAGAUCUGCAAGCUGAUCUCCAGACUUGGGCUGUUCAGAUGAACGUUGAUAAACUUCAGAGACACGUCUCCACUUUAUAGCUUUAUCUGAAACACCCCAAAUGCUGGCACUUCUCCCAUCCUGCUCUCUAGUUUUUCCUAAUGAGAGACUGUAAGAUUCAUGCUCUUCAUCACCACUGCAAACUUCUGGUGUUCAGUUGUGCAAUCGUUACAGAAAGCACAUGCCGCAUCGUUCUGUGCCCGUUAAAGUGAGAGACAAAUGA
Molecule: non-coding RNA, 12077 nt
Organism: Rattus norvegicus (Norway rat)
Lineage: Eukaryota; Metazoa; Chordata; Mammalia; Rodentia; Muridae
Source: RefSeq, a predicted model, not a curated record